AUACAUUUCCCGGCCUUUUGGCUAAGAUCAAGUGUAAUAUCUGUUCUUAUCAAUUUAAUAUCUGAUAUGUGGUCCAAUAGAUUACACGAUAUUAAAUUAUACUUUUUUGAGGGAGAUAAACCAUUUCAUAGUUUGCUGCUGGACUUCUCAUGUAUCGCUCAUGCGUUGCACUAGUGCAUGAGCCUUGCGCACCCCAC
Small nuclear RNA from Medicago truncatula (barrel medic), 197 nucleotides. It matches the Rfam family "U2 spliceosomal RNA". Rfam says of the family: U2 is a small nuclear RNA (snRNA) component of the spliceosome (involved in pre-mRNA splicing). Complementary binding between U2 snRNA (in an area lying towards the 5' end but 3' to hairpin I) and the branchpoint sequence (BPS) of the intron results the bulging out of an unpaired adenosine, on the BPS, which initiates a nucleophilic attack at the intronic 5' splice site, thus starting the first of two transesterification reactions that mediate splicing. The record is from Rfam. NCBI's taxonomy places the organism in Eukaryota, Viridiplantae, Streptophyta, Magnoliopsida, Fabales, Fabaceae.